RNAcentral lists this ribosomal RNA (301 nucleotides) under uncultured bacterium. RNAcentral's name for it is "partial 16S ribosomal RNA". It matches the Rfam family "Bacterial small subunit ribosomal RNA", at positions 509 to 809 of the family's 1533-position model. The record is from RNAcentral.
CAGUAGCCGCGGUAAUACGUAGGGUGCGAGCGUUAAUCGGAAUUACUGGGCGUAAAGCGUGCGCAGGCGGUUUGUUAAGACAGAUGUGAAAUCCCCGGGCUUAACCUGGGAACUGCAUUUGUGACUGGCGGGCUAGAGUAUGGCAGAGGGGGGUAGAAUUCCACGUGUAGCAGUGAAAUGCGUAGAGAUGUGGAGGAAUACCGAUGGCGAAGGCAGCCCCCUGGGCCAAUACUGACGCUCAUGCACGAAAGCGUGGGGAGCAAACAGGAUUAGAUACCCCUGUAGUCCCUGUCUCUUAUAA